UACAGAGGUCUCAAGCGUUGUUCGGAAUUACUGGGCGUAAAGGGUGCGCAGGCCGCGCGGGCAGUCAAAUGUGUAAUUCAGGGGCUCAACCCCUGCACUGCGCUUGAUACUUCCGCGCUCGAGCUUUGGAGAGGAGUCUGGAAUUCUCGGUGUAGCAGUGAAAUGCGUGGAUAUCGAGAAGAACACUUAGGGCGAAGGCAAGACUCUGGACAAAUGCUGACGCUCAUGCACGAAGGCUAGGGUAGCGAACGGG
RNAcentral lists this ribosomal RNA (253 nucleotides) under uncultured bacterium. RNAcentral's name for it is "partial 16S ribosomal RNA". It matches the Rfam family "Bacterial small subunit ribosomal RNA", at positions 524 to 776 of the family's 1533-position model. RNAcentral also lists the same sequence under 2 other names. The record is from RNAcentral.